CUACUUUGUAUUCUCUUUUACAGGUGGGCAUCCCUGGAAUUUUUAAAAGGUUGACACCAGUAUUUGAGCUAUGGAAUCAGACCUUUUUUUUGGAUCCCCUAUGCAGUUUUUAAAAAGGAGGCUUAUGUGAAAGGGUUGGGAUGCCUGAAUAUUUGAAUAGACAAGACUCAUCGAAGAGAGCUGCUGUUCCUCCCAUUCUAUGGACAAGGGAAAGAGGCCUAGCAGUGCAGAGUGCUGCUGAUGUUCUGCAUUUGGGAAGAGUUGGGACAUGAUGAGAAUAACAUCAGCUUUUUUUCUCUCUUCUUUUUCCUCAAACUCAUUUGUUUUUGUCAUUUUUUUUAUUUUGCAGGACAGUUUUGAUAGACUUAAUACCCAGAGGGCAGGUUUAAUUACCAAAUGGGGCUUUAUAUCUUUGGGAAAUUCUCAGGUACUUGGCUCAUGAAUUUUUAAAAUCUUCAUUUCCCCCCAGAGUUAUACAGUUAAAUGAGCCAGGUGUUUUGUCAGGGAUGGUUAAAAUAGAAAGCACUGCUCAGCCCCUACCUUCAUUGCCUUUUCUCACUAAACCCUUUCAACUCUUAGCCGUUGAGUAUUUAUCCCUAGUUUUUCAAGGAACACAUUUGAAUUGCUGUUACUUGAAUUUUCAGUCUAGGAUAUAACUUUUUGCCUGGUCGUCUUUAUCCUUAUCAGUAACUUCACUCAAAAUUUUCUGUCAGUUGUCCAAUUUUCCUGUACAGUGAUAUCUCAGUUCAUGAAUUUAAUUUGUUCUACGAUUUUGGAAAAGAUAGCCAUGUUUGUGUUUGUGCAGGAAAGAUGGCUGCAGUCAUGUUUGUCACCUGAUGUACAGUUUGCAAACAAAAACAAGAUUUUGCCAAAUGCUUCUGUUUGUGAACCAAAUUAUUUGCAUACGAAAGUGUUCAUGAAGGGAGGCACCACAUAUUCUUUUUUUUUUUUGUACUGGAAAUCAAACUCAGGG
This 973-nucleotide long non-coding RNA is filed under the name Heterocephalus glaber (naked mole-rat). RNAcentral's name for it is "lncRNA (ENSHGLG00100048347.1)". Lineage: Eukaryota; Metazoa; Chordata; Mammalia; Rodentia; Bathyergidae. The record is from RNAcentral.